GAUGAACGCUGGCGGCGUGCUUAACACAUGCAAGUCGAGCGGGUAUAGCAAUAUAUCAGCGGCGGACGGGUGAGUAACGCGUGAGCAAUCCGCCUCUAUCAGAGGGAUAACACUUAGAAAUAGGUGCUAAUACCGCAUAAGACCACAGUGCCGCAUGGCACAGGGGUAAAAGGUCAGCCGGAUAGAGAUGAGCUCGCGUCCCAUUAGCUAGUUGGUAGGGUAACGGCCUACCAAGGCGACGAUGGGUAGCCGACCUGAGAGGGUGAUCGGCCACAUUGGAACUGAGAAACGGUCCAA
This 297-nucleotide ribosomal RNA is filed under the name uncultured bacterium. RNAcentral's name for it is "partial 16S ribosomal RNA". It matches the Rfam family "Bacterial small subunit ribosomal RNA", at positions 28 to 334 of the family's 1533-position model. The record is from RNAcentral.